Molecule: ribosomal RNA, 765 nt
Filed under: uncultured bacterium
Lineage: Bacteria
Description: bacterial SSU rRNA
Rfam family: Bacterial small subunit ribosomal RNA
Source: RNAcentral
AGCUUAUUCCUGAUGCUGAGCGCGAAAGCUGGGGGAGCGAACAGGAUUAGAUACCCUGGUAGUCCCAGCCGUAAACGAUGCAUACUUGAUGUCGACGGAAUCAACCCCGUCGGUGUCGUAGCUAACGCGAUAAGUAUGCCGCCUGGGAGUACACUCGCAAGGGUGAAACUCAAAAGAAUUGACGGGGGCCCGCACAAGCAGUGGAGCAUGUGGUUUAAUUCGAUGCAACGCGAAGAACCUUACCUGGACUUGACAUGUAGUGGACAGGUGCAGAAAUGCACUUUUCUUCGGACCGCUAUACAGGUGCUGCAUGGCUGUCGUCAGCUCGUGCCGUGAGGUGUUGGGUUAAGUCCCGCAACGAGCGCAACCCUUAUCAUUAGUUGCCAGCGAGUAAUGUCGGGAACUCUAAUGAGACUGCCUAGGUUAACUAGGAGGAAGGUGAGGAUGACGUCAAGUCAGCAUGGCCCUUACGUCCACGGCUACACACGUGCUACAAUGGUCGGUACAAUAGGCAGCGAAGCCGCGAGGUGAAGCAAAUCCAAAAAGCCGAUCUCAGUUCGGAUUGUAGUCUGCAACUCGACUACAUGAAGCUGGAAUUGCUAGUAACGGCGUGUCAGCAAUAACGCCGUGAAUACGUUCCCGGGCCUUGUACACACCGCCCGUCACAUCAUGGGAGUUGGUUUUACCCGAAGUCACUGACUCAACCGCAAGGGGAGAGGUGCCUAAGGUGAGGCCGAUGACUGGGAUGAAGUCGUAACAAGGUAA